RNAcentral lists this long non-coding RNA (859 nucleotides) under Coturnix japonica (Japanese quail). RNAcentral's name for it is "lncRNA (ENSCJPG00005003813.1)". The record is from RNAcentral. Lineage: Eukaryota; Metazoa; Chordata; Aves; Galliformes; Phasianidae.
AAAAGCCUAAGAUAUCUUCAGAGUCUAAUGCUUCUUGGCAGCUAAUCUGAAGCAAAUCUGGAGAGGACAACUGCAAUACCUUAGAGUUCUUACCAAGCCCUGUUGGACCACAUCACAGUAGAGUUUGUGGUCAGCUAGAAACCCCAUCUCUGUCACUGCAGAGCUCAGGCAUGCCUUGAGACAAGAGUAACUACAUGUGCUUUAUCUAUCCUACAUACUCCUUUUUUGAGCACCUCCCAGACAUUACCGUGUUUAUCCUCUUAGCACCUCUGUAAUUAUCUCUCUUGUAACAGAUGGGAAACAGAAGAGCACGGAGAUUUUGCAAUUUGAGCUGAGCCAGGCAGGAGCUCUUUGGCAGAAGAAGAGGCCUCCCGAGGGCCACACAACAACUGCAUUGUGAUAGGAUGCUCCAUGGGAGACAGCAGCUUGUAAAAGCAGUCGGGGUCUACCAGAGAACACCACAAUAAACAACACAAAACACAAGAAGGAGCCCGCCAACUGCAGAAAGCCAGCAACAGGAUCAAAAGAGAAAUGUCCCAGGUACAAACAAGAGCCGGGAGGAAUGACAUGACUGCAGCCUGGAAAACCUAUAAUGUCUGCAAGGGCUAGAAGCUGGAGGCAUCGGCAGUUUGGCAGCAGCCUCCCCAGGAAUGAGCUGAGGACAUCAAGCAACUCCCUACUCUCAGCUGCUGGGUGCCACCAAAGCUAUUUCACAUACCUAGAAAGCAACGGCACAAAUCUUCAGCAAGAAUCAAGGAGGAAUCAUGCAAGAAAAGCUGCCCUGAAGACGUUGCUUCCUAGAGAUACAAGAGAUGGGGCUGCUCGCACCAUUGAAGUGGGAGAGGAAGUGGACAUUUAG